AUUGAACGCUGGCGGCAGGCUUAACACAUGCAAGUCGAGCGGAGAUGAGGUGCUUGCACCUUAUCUUAGCGGCGGACGGGUGAGUAAUGCUUAGGAAUCUGCCUAUUAGUGGGGGACAACAUUCCGAAAGGAAUGCUAAUACCGCAUACGUCCUACGGGAGAAAGCAGGGGAUCUUCGGACCUUGCGCUAAUAGAUGAGCCUAAGUCGGAUUAGCUAGUUGGUGGGGUAUAGGCCUACCAAGGCGACGAUCGGUAGCGGGUAUAAGAGGAGGGUCCGCCACACUGGGACGGAGACACGGCCCAGACUCCUACGGGAGGCAGCAGUGGGGAAUAUUGGACAAUGGGGGAAACCCUGAUCCAGCCAUGCCGCGUGUGUGAAGAAGGCCUUAUGGUUGUAAAGCACUUUAAGCGAGGAGGAGGCUACUGAGACUAAUACUCUUGGAUAGUGGACGUUACUCGCAGAAUAAGCACCGGCUAACUCUGUGCCAGCCGCCGCGGUAA
RNAcentral lists this ribosomal RNA (501 nucleotides) under uncultured bacterium. RNAcentral's name for it is "partial 16S ribosomal RNA". It matches the Rfam family "Bacterial small subunit ribosomal RNA", at positions 30 to 523 of the family's 1533-position model. The record is from RNAcentral.